GACGAACGCUGGCGGCGUGCUUAACACAUGCAAGUCGAACGGAAAGGCCCUGCUUUUGUGGGGUGCUCGAGUGGCGAACGGGUGAGUAACACGUGAGUAACCUGCCCUUGACUUUGGGAUAACUUCAGGAAACUGGGGCUAAUACCGGAUAGGAGCUCCUGCUGCAUGGUGGGGGUUGGAAAGUUUCGGCGGUUGGGGAUGGACUCGCGGCUUAUCAGCUUGUUGGUGGGGUAGUGGCUUACCAAGGGUUUGACGGGUAGCCGGCCUGAGAGGGUGACCGGCCACAUUGGGACUGAGAUACGGACCAGACGCCUACGGGAGGCAGCAGUGGGGAAUAUUGCACAGUGGGCGGAAGCCUGAUGCAGCAACGCCGCGUGCGGGAUGACGGCCUUCGGGUUGUAAACCGCUUUCGCCUGUGACGAAGCGUGAGUGACGGUAAUGGGUAAAGAAGCACCGGCUAACUACGUG
This 468-nucleotide ribosomal RNA is filed under the name uncultured bacterium. RNAcentral's name for it is "partial 16S ribosomal RNA". It matches the Rfam family "Bacterial small subunit ribosomal RNA", at positions 28 to 507 of the family's 1533-position model. The record is from RNAcentral.